This is a long non-coding RNA of Pezoporus flaviventris, 3082 nucleotides long. RefSeq lists it as uncharacterized. Lineage: Eukaryota; Metazoa; Chordata; Aves; Psittaciformes; Psittacidae. The transcript has 3 exons. The record is from RefSeq and is a predicted model, not a curated record.
CAGGGAGGCUGCUCUUUUCUCUGUAUCUCCAAUGUGCGGUGGUGUGGCUCAGGAACUGGGUGAACCUCAGCUCAUUUCUGGCUGCUGAAGGAGGGAUUGCAAGUGGUGGUGUCUGACUGCAUGGCUUGGUUGGGGAAGGUGAGGGAGAGCAGCCACAGGGACUCAUUGCUGAAAAGCCUGAGGACUUUGGGAUUCCCACAAAUGCCUUUUUCACAGCCAGCUGCUGCCACUCAGUGCCAUAAAUGGAGAACAUACCCUCAAUUAUUCAUGGUCUGGCUCUAACCCAUUAGCCUCUGAGACUCUUGGCUCUGGUCUUGGCCUUCUAUUACAGAGGAUGAAGCUCAGUUAGCAGCCAGGAUUUCUCAAUGGCAUCUUAAGCCAGGUUGACAUAAAUUGUCAGUGUAAAAUCUACUAACAUGGAAGUCUCCAAAUACUGGCGAGCUGGCAAAAGGUCCUUAGCAAAAACUAUGCCAUUAGUGAGCCAAAGCUAUUAGUAAUACAGUGCUGCUAGUACCAAGGAUGCUCUAACCAUCAGAAACAGCUUCUAGCAGGCGUGUGCUGGGAGAGCACAUCAUUCCUUGCCUUGUGGCGAGAAUCUCCUCUGCCAAACAUAGGAAAUUACCUUCUCCUAAGUAAAUUGUGUAACCCUGCCCCUACAUUCCUUCUCAUAGGUAUGAAUUGUCAGGCUUUAAUAGUACAAUUGGCUCUGCUGUGUGUGCUGCUUGGUUUCUGUGGGAAGGGAUUAGGGGAAUACUAGAUGCUCUGUAUCUGGGGAAAAGGUAUUCUCAGUUCUCCAGGCAAAGGUAUUAUCCCCAUUUAAAAUAGGCUUCAGGUAGUAUGUGGAUGUUCUAAGAUGCAUGGAAUCCGAGAGGGAAAAUCCUGCUUUAGCCCCCAAGGAUGGUCUUUGCACACACUUGACUUAAAUUUCUCUGUGGUGUCUUCUUUCCUAUAGCUUUCUCAUUGACAAAAGGCACCACAAGGUGACUGGUCUGUCCACAGCAAUGCAGAGCUAACAGGAACCUACUUCUGUAACCACAAUAGGCCCUGUCUCUAGGAAACUGCAGAGCAUUUCCCUUCCCUCCUAUAGCCUCCAGAUGUUAGUAAGCCCCAUGCCUUCACAAUGGCGCUUUGAGCAGUGACAGCAGCUCAGGGAUUACCUUGAUGUUGCUCUUUGUUCUGGAAGUGUUCACCAGGUUAUGGCUGUUGGUUUACACCGAUGUGAGGCCAUCGUGUUGCUGCUUCAGACAUGUAUCAGAUCUACACCUCCCUCAGGACCCCACAUCCCCAUCGUGCCACCAUAGUGGCAGACCUGUGGCCCUUUCCAGCAUUACCUACCUACAACUAAGCCUUCUCCAUGUUGUUUCUUCUCAUCCAAGCAAUUUCCCUGGAAUUCUGCUGUUCUUUCUGAGUGUGGCUUCCUGGCAUCAGGUGCCUUAACUCCAAACCCACACCUGUGACAGUGCUGGAGAUAGAGGAAUAUGCAUCAGACUAACUUUUCCUUCUUUUUGCCCUGCUUAACAGUACAGACUGGACAUAUGGAAGUUCUUCAGAGACAGCAAGGAUCCCAGAGCAUGUGAUCAUCCCAACUGCUUACCCUGCAUGCUUCCUGGGUAUUUUCUACAUAGCACUUCUGGAAGCCAUUUAGGAUUUACUAGGGUGGAAAUGUGAGGUCCUGUCAAGAGCAUGUUACAGCACAAGCAUGUGCUUUGGGCACUGGACUUGCAAAAUGAUGUCAGAACAGUGUAACUCAUGCAGUGAUGUCUGCAGACAGCCUGGAACAAUAACACAGCAGAGAGCAGACCUUUCGUUUUGGCAGAGGUUGUUUCACGAUGUGUUGGAAAUGGGGCUGUCCUUUUAAUGCCAUGUUGUAAUUAACUCUGGUUAGCACUGGCUGGGAAUUCUUUUGGCAGCACAGUUUUUUUCCCUAGAGGGGGUAGGUUCCUAUAAAACAAAGUGAGUUUUGUUUAUGGGUUUUUUUUUUUUUCCUUCUGCUUAAACAGGACUGAAAAUAACUUCUGAUGGAGGGGCUCCUUCUGCUUUCUUACUGGCUGCCUCAGAGUAAACAUUAUGCGAAAGACCUGGAAUUGGGCAAAAUAGGAUUGUAAACCCAUGUUUUAAACACAUGAACUAACACCGGGGUGUAUUGCUCUUCUGAGGUGGGAUAGACUGGGGAGAUGAGUGCAGUUUUAACAUGUAGAUAGUCAAGAGUGCUGUGCAAGAUGCUGCCAACAUGAUGUGUUCAAAGAGGGAUUGGACAAGAUCAUGGAGACAAAAACGUCCAUGGAGGGCUAUUAAAUAGGGGUAGAUGCAAUGUCUGCUUGGGGAAGUCGUCUUUAAUACUGUACCCUCUGUACCUGGUCCAUGGAGUUUGGAAGGAAGCGGUGUUAGGCUUUGAAAACCAUGGAUAUAGCUGGGAAAUUCCAGCCUGAAGUGAAAUCUUGACGGGAAAUCCCACCUGAGUUAAUCCCAGCUGCAUGUGGCACUGUUCGAGUUGUUCCCACUGCAGGAGUUGAAUUGGAUGUUUGCUUGGCUGGGGAAGGGAGCUCUGGUGAAACCAAACCUGAAAUCAUAGAGUCACAGAAUAGUUAGGGUUGGAAAGGACCUUAAGAUCAUCCAGUUCCAACCCCCCUGCCAUGGGCAGGGACACCUCACACUAAACCAUGGCACCCAAGGCUCUGUCCAAGCUGGCCUUGAACACCACCAGGGAUGGAGCAUUCACAACCUCCCUGGGCAACCCAUUCCAGUGCCUCAGCACCCUUACAGUAAAGAACUUCUUCCUUAUAUCCAAUCUAAACUUCCCCUGUUUAAGUUUGAACCCCUUACCCCUUGUCCUAUCACUACAGUCCCUAAUGAAGAGUCCCUCCCCAGCAUCCCUAUAGCCCCCCUUCAGAUACUGGAAGGCUGCUAUGAGGUCUCCACGCAGCCUUCUCUUCUCCAGGCUGAGCAGCCCCAACUUCCUCAGCCUGUCUUCAUACAGGAGGUGCUCCAUCCCCUGAUCAUCCUCGUGGCCUCCUCUGGACUUGUUCCAACAGUUCCACGUCCUUUUUAUGUUGAGGACACCAGAACUGCACACAAUGCUCCA